GGAUAAAAAAUCAAAAGUAUGUAAGAAUUAAAUUCAGAAAUAGACCGAGAUUUAAAAUAGUUCAAAAGUUAUAUAGAAUUUAUAAGAAUCCACAAAUAGUUCAUUCCAAUACUCGACUGAAUAAUGUUGACGUUUGUGGUUCAACGUAUUUUCCAAUUCAUAAUAGAAAUAUAUCAUAGUGACAUGUAAUAGAACAAUAUCAUAGUGACAUAUACUAGAACAAUAUCAUACUGACGGGAUCUUUAACAUGAUAUUUCUUUUUUUGUUUUUUAUUAGUCGUUACGUUUUUUAGUCGUUUAAUAAGUUGUUAUAUCGUUGACUUAAACAGUACACCUCAUUUUUUUUUUAAUUUUCAGAAAAUCUUUAGAAAUUUUGAAGUAUGAACAAUAAUUCGAAAUACUGAUAUGUUACUGCCUGUGGUUAUAAUGGUACUGAAUCGGUGAUAAAUUUCACAUGCGACAGUUAUUGAUACUAAAAAUGUAUCAAUGAGUGCCGCAAAUAUGGCAACUAUCGCGAAGGAACGUUUAGCAGCUCGAAAUUUUAGCUGACACCGACAUUGCAAUCGCAAUAUCGGUUUCUUAAACAAAAGAAGAAGUAAAAUACU
Molecule: long non-coding RNA, 604 nt
Filed under: Mytilus galloprovincialis (Mediterranean mussel)
Lineage: Eukaryota; Metazoa; Mollusca; Bivalvia; Mytilida; Mytilidae
Source: RNAcentral